RNAcentral lists this ribosomal RNA (305 nucleotides) under uncultured bacterium. Its description in RNAcentral is "partial 16S ribosomal RNA". It matches the Rfam family "Bacterial small subunit ribosomal RNA", at positions 505 to 807 of the family's 1533-position model. The record is from RNAcentral.
ACAGCAGCAGCCACGGUAAUACGUAGGUGGCAAGCGUUGUCCGGAAUUAUUGGGCGUAAAGGGCUCGCAGGCGGUUUCUUAAGUCUGACGUGAAAGCCCCCGGCUCAACCGGGGAGGGUCGUUGGAAACUGGGAAACUUGAGUGCAGAAGAGGAGAGUGGAAUUCCACGUGUAGCGGUGAAAUGCGUAGAGAUGUGGAGGAACACCAGUGGCGAAGGCGACUCUCUGGUCUGUAACUGACGCUGAGGAGCGAAAGCGUGGGGAGCGAACAGGAUUAGAUACCCCAGUAGUCCCUGUCUCUUAUAC